AUAAAGAGAAAGCAUGUCAACACAUAUAUUUAAAUAUUUCAUAUAAUGAAAUUAUUUAAUAUAUUGACUGACCUGAAAUGGUUGACUCUGUUAGUCAUUUCAUUUCCGGUAUCAUAUAUGUAGAGCUGUGCAAACUUUGGCUUUGAUCCAUGCUCUGGCAAUAAACUGCCAAUACGGUGAUAGUUCUGUCCAUUCAGAAUAAAUUGUGGAGGAGCAGAACCAUUGUUCAUUGAAUUAUCAAUCUUACCACCAAUUGAAGUAAAUGCAAACAUGCUAUUGUAUACUCUUAUGUUUUGUAAAAAUGAUUUGCUUCUCUGAUCUUCACCAUUUAACAAACCUUCAAGAAGAUUAGGUGGUCUUUUUAAUAGUGGAAUUUGUACUUUUCCCUUUUGACAACACAAUGAGAAUUCAACUCCCUUAGAUGUGUUACAUUUUUCUGCUCUUUCUUCAUACCAAAGUUGAGCUUUACAGUAUUGGCAUUCCAAGCAAGGUUCUCCAAUAUUGAGCAAUUCUGAAAAUCAAUAUAAAACAUUAGAAUGAAGCUGCGAAAAUUUUAAUCUGCAGUUAUAUACAAUUGUGUUGGACAUUAUGUACCUUGUAACUCUCCUUUGCAAUACAAUUCGUUUGUAGUUGUAGUACUUGUAUGAUGUUCUUCAAUAUUAGUAACAUGAAAACUAAUUAAUGAUUUUAAAGGAAUUUAUAUUAAAAUCAAAAAGUUUAAAAUCAGAAUUACCAUCAUCUGUUAUUGUUGCUGAAUCAUCGUUUGUUGUGUCUGAAUUAUUAUGUUGUCUUGUUGUUUCAUCAUCAAGAUUGAAUCUGUUUUGAAGUGAUUGUAUGACUUGAAAAGGAUAUUUCACAGCUUUAUUCUUAGAAACAGAAUGCGACCCAGUUACAACAUCUGAUCUCCAACCUAUGAAAAACAACAAAAAACAAUUGUCCUACCUGCAUUGGCAUUCAGCAGUUUCCUUCUCAGCCUUGCAUUUUUACAAUCGUUAUGCUCCAUUACAGUACAGAAAUGUUAUGGAAUAGUUUCAAAGGUUACAAUGGAAGAAGCAAAAAUAAAGGUACAAUCAGACGUUUUUUUGAGUCAGUACUAUAUAUAGUAAAACAAAGACAACUUUUUCAAAGGAAUUAUGUACAAUCUUAACAUCAUUAUGUAUAAAAAUGAUAACAUACAGUUAGUGUACGCACAUACUAAAGCAACAUACAUCCAUACAUAUGAUUAUAUACAUUAUAACUUUUCAUUAUUCCUCCAACUAUAUAGGUUUCAA
Long non-coding RNA from Vigna unguiculata (cowpea), 1271 nucleotides. Lineage: Eukaryota; Viridiplantae; Streptophyta; Magnoliopsida; Fabales; Fabaceae. The record is from RefSeq and is a predicted model, not a curated record.